Molecule: non-coding RNA, 77 nt
Organism: Potamilus streckersoni
Lineage: Eukaryota; Metazoa; Mollusca; Bivalvia; Unionida; Unionidae
Source: the annotation of a GenBank genome assembly
GGCUUCUACGGUGUCCUAGUGAUUAGUGAGUCCGCUUCGGGUGCUGGAGAUCGAGGGUUCGAACCUCGGCCGAGUCA